This 253-nucleotide ribosomal RNA is filed under the name uncultured bacterium. RNAcentral describes it as "partial 16S ribosomal RNA". It matches the Rfam family "Bacterial small subunit ribosomal RNA", at positions 524 to 776 of the family's 1533-position model. The record is from RNAcentral.
UACGAAGGGGGCUAGCGUUGUUCGGAAUUACUGGGCGUAAAGGGCGCGUAGGCGGCCUUGUUAGUCGAGUGUGAAAGCCCUGGGCUUAACCCGGGAAGCGCGCUUGAUACUGCGAGGCUUGAGUGUGGGAGAGGUUGGUGGAAUUCCCAGUGUAGAGGUGAAAUUCGUAGAUAUUGGGAAGAACACCGGUGGCGAAGGCGACCAACUGGACCACAACUGACGCUGAGGCGCGAAAGCGUGGGGAGCAAACAGG